CAGCAGCCGCGGUAAUACGUAGGGUGCGAGCGUUAAUCGGAAUUACUGGGCGUAAAGCGAGCGCAGACGGUUAUUUAAGCAGGAUGUGAAAUCCCCGGGCUUAACCUGGGAACUGCGUUCUGAACUGGAUGGCUAGAGUGUGUCAGAGGGGGGUAGAAUUCCACGUGUAGCAGUGAAAUGCGUAGAGAUGUGGAGGAAUACCGAUGGCGAAGGCAGCCCCCUGGGAUAACACUGACGUUCAUGCUCGAAAGCGUGGGUAGCAAACAGGAUUAGAUACCCGCGUAGUCCCUGUCUCUUAUAC
This 301-nucleotide ribosomal RNA is filed under the name uncultured bacterium. RNAcentral's name for it is "partial 16S ribosomal RNA". It matches the Rfam family "Bacterial small subunit ribosomal RNA", at positions 509 to 807 of the family's 1533-position model. The record is from RNAcentral.